GGCUGUGUGGUCUAGUGGUAUGAUUCUCGCUUAGGGUGCGAGAGGUCCCGAGUUCAAUUUUUGGCACAGCCC
This 72-nucleotide transfer RNA is filed under the name Perkinsus olseni. RNAcentral's name for it is "tRNA-Pro". It matches the Rfam family "tRNA". From Rfam's summary of the family: Transfer RNA (tRNA) molecules are approximately 80 nucleotides in length. Their secondary structure includes four short double-helical elements and three loops (D, anti-codon, and T loops). Further hydrogen bonds mediate the characteristic L-shaped molecular structure. tRNAs have two regions of fundamental functional importance: the anti-codon, which is responsible for specific mRNA codon recognition, and the 3' end, to which the tRNAs corresponding amino acid is attached (by aminoacyl-tRNA synthetases). tRNAs cope with the degeneracy of the genetic code in two manners: having more than one tRNA (with a specific anti-codon) for a particular amino acid; and 'wobble' base-pairing, i.e. permitting non-standard base-pairing at the 3rd anti-codon position. The record is from RNAcentral. Lineage: Eukaryota; Perkinsozoa; Perkinsida; Perkinsidae.